UACGAAGGGGGCGAGCGUUGUUCGGAUUUACUGGGCGUAAAGGGCGCGUAGGCGGCCUCUGCAAGUCGACUGUGAAAUCUCCGGGCUUAACCCGGAAAGGUCAGCCGAUACUGCAGGGCUAGAGUGCAGAAGGGGCAACUGGAAUUCUCGGUGUAGCGGUGAAAUGCGUAGAUAUCGAGAGGAACACCUGCGGCGAAGGCGGGUUGCUGGGCUGACACUGACGCUGAGGCGCGAAAGCUAGGGGAGCGAACGGG
Molecule: ribosomal RNA, 254 nt
Filed under: uncultured bacterium
Lineage: Bacteria
Description: partial 16S ribosomal RNA
Rfam family: Bacterial small subunit ribosomal RNA
Source: RNAcentral